RNAcentral lists this long non-coding RNA (1385 nucleotides) under Olea europaea subsp. europaea. The record is from RNAcentral. Lineage: Eukaryota; Viridiplantae; Streptophyta; Magnoliopsida; Lamiales; Oleaceae.
UGAACCUCUUUCAACUGAUUGGCAUCAAAUUGUUGACAUGGAACAUGAAAAGAUUAGAUAUAAAUAUACAUAAAUCAUCUAUCGAGUGAACAAUUUAAAUUAAAAAUUUAGUGUUUCAACACCAUAAUUAACUUCGCAUCUUUGCGUAUUAUCUAUUACAUAUUGUCAUCUAUAAGUGAUAGACUACAAAUCUUGAAUAAACCCUAAUAUUAUUUCAUGUUGAGAUCAAUCCUUGGAACACAACUAACAGUUCUAAUAAUCAUUUUUGAUGAGGAUAAAUUAUUUCUUCUCUUCUCACAACUUUUUUUGGCUAUAUCCUUCAUAGCACAUGUCAAGGAGAGUUUAGGGUUAAGUCUUGUGGUAGAAUUGAAUUCUUGACAGAAAAUUGUGUGUGUGCUUAAAGCUUCUUCAAUGGUUAUGAUGGGUUCAUGCUUUAGCCUUUCUUUGACGGCUUCAGAACAAAGCCCACAAACCCAUUCAGAACGUGAAUUCCUGAUGUUUGUAAUGUAUUCUUUUGUGCAAUCUUCUUUGAGGCCACAGCAUUCACAUUCAACAGCUUGAAGAAGUUCAUCAUCCAAUUAAACAAUGGUUUCCAAUUCCUUGCCUAGUUUGCUUAUUUCACUUGCAACAUCGGAUACAGUCUUUCGCAGCAACUGGCCACUCUGCGAAACAAUAGAAGAAGCAAUUUUGUUAGUAACUCAUUUAUACCAACCAAAAACCAAGUUUAAUUCCUAAUAAAUUUAUAUUGUCCAUUGCUAUAUUUACUGAAAAAUUUAACCCAUUUUAGUUUAGUCAAAAAUCAGAUUUGUUUGUAGAUUUUGAUAUAAAUUAAUGAAACAUAUGGUUGAAAAGUUAAUAAAAGUUGUGGAUCUCAUCAAAUAUAUAAUUGAAAAUGAGUUUGAAGAAAAAUGAUUUUUAAAACGAGAGCCAAAUAGUGGCUUAAUGUAAAUAGGAUACUACAAGAAGUGCAUUACCCGUGUUAAUUUUGGCGUACAUCUCUCUUUCUUACCUCUUGCAUUGAGGUUGAAUCACUAUUUCAACCUAUUUAUAAGUCUACAUUAUAAGUUGUGACUGCAACCAGAGUUCGACAAAAUAUGUCCUAAUGUUCCUAUGACAUUGUAGAGUAUAAAUAUACAAGAUCAUGAACAAAUAAAUAGUGGAUUUAAACCUAAGACCUUUUAAUUAGUCUUAGGAUUCCAACCUUAGUACUGUUUUCCCAUAGAUAGGAUUGUGCAAGUAGGAGAAGAAGGAUUCUUGAGUAGAAUUUUGCAUACCAUGUUUUUAGAAAGAGAUGAAAUUCUUCUUCGAAUGCUCUAACUAUGAUAUCUCGAUCCACGAAGUUGCGCUCGAUAGUCGAUUCCAUAUAAGUGUUGUAUAAAAUGCUG